This 355-nucleotide unclassified non-coding RNA is filed under the name soil metagenome. RNAcentral describes it as "partial contains 5.8S ribosomal RNA, internal transcribed spacer 2, and large subunit ribosomal RNA". The stretch from base 1 to 121 matches the Rfam family "5.8S ribosomal RNA", at positions 35 to 154 of the family's 154-position model. The record is from RNAcentral.
GAUGAAGAACGCAGUGAAAUGCGAUAAGUAAUGCGAAUUGCAGAAUUCCAGUGAGUCAUCGAAUCUUUGAACGCACAUUGCGCCCUUUGGUAUUCCGAAGGGCAUGCCUGUUCGAGCGUCAUUAUCACCCCUCAAGCCCCGUGCUUGGUGUUGGACGGCCGGUCGAGCGAUCGACCCCUCCUAAAGUCAAUGACGGCGGCCUGUGGUUCCCCCGGUACACUGAGCUUUUAACUGAGCACGUAUCGGACAAGGGCACCCGGGACCCGGUCCUCUCCUUUAACUAGGAAACUUCUAAGGUUGACCUCGGAUCAGGUAGGAAUACGCGCUGAACUUAAGCAUAUCAAUAAGCGGAGGA